AUUUGAGGUUGUAAACAUGUUAUCAAAAUCUAAAGCUGCAGUUCUAGAAGUUGUCCCAAACAACAAAGGGCACUCACAACCAAGUUAGGUGACAUUUGCAGUGCUGCAGUUUUUAGAGGAGAAGAUCACGCAUAAAUUUUUGUUAUCAUGUACAGCUACUUGAUAUUUGGUUAUUUUUGGAAGAUUUGGUGGCAUUUGCAGCAAUUAUAGCACUUUUGAAGGCACAAGAUCAUGGCUACAUUAUAUUUAUCAUGUAUAACUAUUGGAUUUUUGGGUACAUAUUUGCCUUUUUUUGGAUGUAUGUGAGAUAAUAUAAGAUUAUGCAAGG
Molecule: long non-coding RNA, 328 nt
Organism: Vitis vinifera (wine grape)
Lineage: Eukaryota; Viridiplantae; Streptophyta; Magnoliopsida; Vitales; Vitaceae
Exons: 3
Source: RefSeq, a predicted model, not a curated record